AUUGAACGCUGGCGGCAUGCUUUACACAUGCCAGUCGAACGGCAGCGCGGGCUUCGGCCUGGCGGCGAGUGGCGAACGGGUGAGUAAUGCAUCGGAACGUGCCCAGUAGUGGGGGAUAGCCCGGCGAAAGCCGGAUUAAUACCGCAUACGACCUGAGGGUGAAAGCGGGGGACCGAAAGGCCUCGGGCGAUUGGAGCGGCCGAUGUCGGAUUAGCUAGUUGGUGGGGUAAAGGCUUACCAAGGCGACGAUCCGUAGCUGGUCUGAGAGGACGACCAGCUACACUGGGACUGAGACACGGCCCAGACUCCUACGGGAGGCAGCAGUGGGGAAUUUUCGACAAUGGGGGAAAGCCUGAUCCAGCCAUGCCGCGUGCGGGAUGAAGGCCUUCGGGUUGUAAACCGCUGUUGUCCGGGAAGAAAACCUCUGUACUAAUACGCCGGGGGGAUGACGGUACCGGAAGAAUAAGCACCGGCUAACUACGUG
This 484-nucleotide ribosomal RNA is filed under the name uncultured bacterium. RNAcentral's name for it is "partial 16S ribosomal RNA". It matches the Rfam family "Bacterial small subunit ribosomal RNA", at positions 29 to 507 of the family's 1533-position model. The record is from RNAcentral.